UUCUUAAUUAUAUAUGUACAUUGUAUGAUAAAUAUCAGUAAUAUAUGAUGCAUACAGGUCAUGACCAGAACUAAAAAUUAUUAAUAAAAUGUCUUUACAUAUUUUUUUUAGAAUGUCCAUAUAUAUUAAAAGGGAUUGUUCAUGGUGAAGGUACAAAGCUGCAAAAAUGAUGACUGUGCAUCGAUCAAUACCCAAUCAAUAAUAUGAAAACACGAUGAAAACAAACGAAUCAGCAGCAGAAAAGAAAUUUGAGUAUAAGAUUAUUGAAAGAUUAAUCAAUGAACAUGAUGAAGACUUAAUGGAACAGGAUUGGAAUGCAGAAACUUUGGACUUAAUUCAUGAAUAACAUCAAUGGAUGAUGAAGAAAACUGAACAAACUGACAAAGUAUUUCGUAUGCAUGUAAACUGGACAUUUUUGUUUGUUUAAUGCACAAUAAACAAAUUUGUAAAAUUGAAAAUUAAAACAUUUGUGAAAGAUUUCAAGAGGACCAAAAGUUACCAUGGACUUAUGAAUGAUUUAACCAGAAAAAUGAUUUACAUGUACAAUUAAGUAAAUACAUCUUUGACUAAAAAAUGAUAAUUUAUCAACAUUAAUAUUUUAAAGAGGUUGAUCUUUUCAUUUAAAAGGUCUUAAAUGUGGAUAAUGUAUAAACUGUUGUAAUUUCUUUAAUUGUUGACUUGCAUUAAAAUGGUUAUUGUCUUA
Long non-coding RNA from Mytilus californianus (California mussel), 703 nucleotides. RefSeq lists it as uncharacterized. Lineage: Eukaryota; Metazoa; Mollusca; Bivalvia; Mytilida; Mytilidae. The transcript has 2 exons. The record is from RefSeq and is a predicted model, not a curated record.